AUAUAGAUAUGUAGAUAUAGAUAUAGCUGCAUACCAUAUCUAUCUAUAGAUAGAGAUAGAUGACAUAUACUGGUCUAUAGAUAGAUAUAGUAUAUGAAUGUAUCUUUAUAUCUCCAUACAUAGAGAUAGAUGACAUAUUCUGGUCUGUAACCUUAAUAAAAAAAAUAAGAUACACAUAUAAAAUAUUAAUGGUAAGUAGGUAUCAUGUAGCCUGAUAUGUUCUUUAUUUGAAAGUUAGAGAGAAUUAUGGAAAUUCAUUAACACUUUUUGUGGUAUCAGUACUUAAAAAAGAAACCCUAGAAAUGGAAGGAAUCUCAAUACUUCUCUGAGUCCAGCAUCUCACCAAGAGCACAAAUUCACUGAAAGCCAACUCCACUAACUUCAUCUGAUUUGGGGGAUAAUAAACUACUAACUCCAAAAAUAAAAUAUUGCUGUUAGAAUGUUAUUUCUUAGAUUGAUUAGAAUGUGCUUUCUCAUAAAAUCCCUGCCAUCAUUUCUAUUUUUGUUUCAUAAACUGAAUGAGGCUCUUUAUAAAUUUUCUUUAGAUGGUAGCUUUUUAAAUAGUUUCAGGUUGGAUACACAUAAUUUUUUCAUUUAAAAAUUUCCCCAAUUCUUAUUACUUUUCUGUGUAUCAGAGGAUUUCCAGGCUCAUUACCUUCUUGGUGCUCAUAUCUGAACGUCCUCAGAACCACUUCUCCUUUAGAGUCUGACUCAUGCCAUUCCAAAGUCAGGAUAACCUUUCAAAGGGAAUAGUCAGCUGGGUGAUCCAGCUGUUUACUAGUCCUAGCAAUAUCAGGCUUGAUGUUCUCUAACUAUAAGUAUCAAGGCAGACAAAAGUUUCUUCACUAUUUUCUAGUUUCAAGCCUAUAUUUUUAUUUUGGAAUUUGUAUUUUUAUGAAAUAUAAUAAUUUACAAAUUAUUUUAACAAGCUUUAUAUAUCCUUUAUAAAUUUUGCAAAUUUUUAAGGUAAUCUGGAUCCAAAUAUUCGCCCUCUUAAGUAAUGUGGGAAGCUCAUUUCAGUACAAUUAAUGUGUUAGGAACUAUGAAAUAGCAACACAUUGAGAGUCAAGAACAGACCACAUUCCUUUCAUUUUAACUUAACAUCAUCAUGAAGAGUAAAUUAAGGGUUGACUGGAUUUUUAAAAUUAUAUAUUAACAUACAUACACACAUAUGCAUACACACACACACACACACACACACACAUUGAAAUGUACUUUGGAGCAAAAAGGGACAUUAGUGUAGUGAUGACUUGUAGGGCAAUGACCAGAACAUUAGCCUUAUAUGGGAUCCUAAGUUCUCUUAAUAAAUAAUCAAGCCUAGAAUAUUGUUGUGAAGUUCCACUUACGAGGCACAUAGUGUUCAAAUUCAACUUGACAUUUGAUAUUCUAUGUCACCACUAUGAAAGUUCUUGUAUUUUUUGAAAAUGCUUCGACAGGGAGUCAGUUUACAAUUGAGAUGAAGGAUUAUCAAUGUCGCUUGAUUUAUAAAGAUGUAGUGGGAGGAGACAUGUAAAAUAUCAAAACAUUUAGUUGGAUGUGAGAAGAACUUACCUUGGUGUAUUUUCAAAAGUUCUCUUUUAUUUUGUACAGCUUUGUCUGCCCUAUAUCCAAGCUCAUCCCUUCUCUAAUAAUUUUACUUUAAAAAAUAUGGCAGAUGGGAUGCCUGGGUGGCUGAGCGGUUGAGCCACUGCCUUUGGCUCAGGUCGUGAUCCCUGGGUCCUGGGAUCGAGUCCCACAUCGGGCUCCCUGUGUGGAGCCUGCUUCUCCCUCUCCCUGUGUCUUUGCCUCUCUGUGUGUGUGUCUCUCAUGAAUAAAUAAAUAAAAUAUUUUUAAAAAUAUGACAGAGAAGUUUUAAGAUUUGGGGUUUGACAAGGGGUGAAGCCAUUAAUGCAGGGAGGUGCUGUCAAAACUCAGCUGACAAGCGGCCCUGGGACACUAAUCUUUCCCACUAGGUCCUUGUAUUGAUCCAAAUUUUUUUGAAAAUUUAUCCUCUAAGAUUAUUUCUUUAUUGGAUAGUUUGUCUGUUUAAGAGACAGGCAGAGAAGCAGGGAGCAGAAGAGGGAGACACAGGCUCCUCAAGCACACUCUGCCCCAAGCGCAGAGCCUGCCAGGGGCGGGAUCUCAGGAUGCUGAGACCAUGACCUGAGCCACAACCCGAGUCAGAUGCCUAGUGACUGAGCCGCAGGCGUCAAGCCCCGUGUUCCUGCUGUGGGCACUCCUGCCCCCCCACCCCCCGCCCCCCGUAGCCACUGAGAGCUCGGGCUUUGGUCUGCGCUCCAACUGCCAGGUGGUCUGGAGGCUACAGUGCAGGCUGCACGUCCCCUCUGUCCCACCUCAGGCUGAAAGGGCCUCAGCCCUGAGAAAGAAUCGGAUCUUCCCGACCACCCCCAGCCGGAGGGAGCUGCUGGAGCAGCAGGUAGAAGAACUGGUGCCCGCCUUGCUGUGCUUGGACGACCUUUCCAUUGUUCAAUUUAUGGAAACCUAUCCUGAAUUUGGCACCACCGAAGAGAUCCUGGACCUGCUGUUUGCAAAAUAUGGAUGCAACAAAUAUCUGAAUGAUGACAUCGUGGGAUCCGUGGAGCAGUGCAAAGUGUGAGUGAGCUCUGGCUCAUGCAGGAGGGCCUUCCUCUCCAAGAGGGCAGCGAGGGGGCUGUGGCCUGGAGGGGCUGCUGGACCCUCACCCCACACAUCUGCAAUUCCUGUGACAAGGGCCAUCUCCUUCAUCCUGGACAUCUGGCUGGAGUACUAUCAGGAGGAUUUUCAUCAGCCACCAGAAUUUCUCUUCCUGAGGAAGCUUCUGGCAUUCAUGGGGCUCAACAUGCCAGGCUCAGACCUGGAAAACUGGGCCCAGCGUUACCUGGAAUGAUUCAGCUACCUGGAGCUCGUGGAAUUAGACGAUGAGGAUGAGGAGGACUGGGGGUGGCCAAGCUUGGGACAGGGUGGGCCACACAGACCCAACCUCCAUGCAGGUGGGCCGGGAGCAGUGGGUAGGCUCACACCCCAUUCCCACGGGCUUCAGUCUGGGGAGACCUCCCAGGGCUCUUGUACUCACACACGUUGAGCAGUGGGAAGAGUGUCCUUGAUUUGUGAGGGACGUGGAAAGUCCGUCCUGGUGAUGAUACUUUGUCUUCUUGGGGCUACAGCUUCGGCCCCGGAGCAACACCCUAACCCACCUCAGGAGCCCACCCCAGCUCCGACUGUGGGGCCUGUGGCACCUUCAGGGCCUGAGGUGACCGAGCCGGUCCCUGGCUGCUGGAGGUGAGGGCUUGGCCCAAGCUGAGAUGCUGGCUACUGAGUCCAAGUCAAUGCACAUGGUUUUGGCACCUAUGAUUCCCCACCCUGAUGAGGAGCCACCUGCACCCUUGGUCACCCGGUGGAAGAGUAGGCCCUGGAGCCUGCAGUCGGGGUCCCCAAAGUGCCAGGGCCACCACCUGCCUCUGGAGCAACUGGCUUCGACCCCUGAACAACCCCCUGAACCACCUCAGGAGCCACCCCAGCUCCUACCACGGGGCUCGUGAUGGCUGCAGCCCAAUGGAGGCUUCCCUCCUCGUCAUUGUGCUGUUUCCAUAUUUUGUUUUUCUUUAACCUCUAUAAUGGCUUAUGAAUUUUAUUUGUAAUAAAAGAGGGAUCCCUAGGUGGCGCAGGGAUCCCUAGGUGGCGCAGCGGUUUGGCGCCUGCCUUUGGC
This is an RNA transcript of Canis lupus familiaris (dog), 3685 nucleotides long. It is a transcript of the gene named ral guanine nucleotide dissociation stimulator-like, with no coding region annotated. The record is from RefSeq and is a predicted model, not a curated record. NCBI's taxonomy places the organism in Eukaryota, Metazoa, Chordata, Mammalia, Carnivora, Canidae. The transcript has 3 exons.